This 721-nucleotide ribosomal RNA is filed under the name uncultured bacterium. Its description in RNAcentral is "bacterial SSU rRNA". It matches the Rfam family "Bacterial small subunit ribosomal RNA", at positions 58 to 773 of the family's 1533-position model. The record is from RNAcentral.
CAAGUCGAGCGGUAGAGAGAAGCUUGCUUCUCUUGGGAGCGGCGGACGGGUGAGUAAUGCCUAGGAGUCUGCCUGGUAGUGGGGGAUAACGUUCGGAAACGGACGCUAAUACCGCAUACGUCCUACGGGAGAAAGCAGGGGACCUUCGGGCCUUGCGCUAUCAGAUGAGCCUAGGUCAGAUUAGCUAGUUGGUGAGGUAAUGGCUCACCAAGGCGACGAUCCGUAACUGGUCUGAGAGGAUGAUCAGUCACACUGGAACUGAGACACGGUCCAGACUCCUACGGGAGGCAGCAGUGGGGAAUAUUGGACAAUGGGCGAAAGCCUGAUCCAGCCAUGCCGCGUGUGUGAAGAAGGUCUUCGGAUUGUAAAGCACUUUAAGUUGGGAGGAAGGGUUGUAGAUUAAUACUCUGCAAUUUUGACGUUAUCGACAGAAUAAGCACCGGCUAACUCUGUGCCAGCAGCCGCGGUAAUACAGAGGGUGCAAGCGUUAAUCGGAAUUACUGGGCGUAAAGCGCGCGUAGGUGGUUUGUUAAGUUGGAUGUGAAAUCCCCGGGCUCAACCUGGGAACUGCAUUCAAAACUGACUGACUAGAGUAUGGUAGAGGGUGGUGGGAAUUUCCUGUGUAGCGGUGAAAUGCGUAGAUAUAGGAAGGAACACCAGUGGCGAAGGCGACCACCUGGACUAAUACUGACACUGAGGUGCGAAAGCGUGGGGAGCAAAC